RNAcentral lists this ribosomal RNA (495 nucleotides) under uncultured bacterium. RNAcentral describes it as "partial 16S ribosomal RNA". It matches the Rfam family "Bacterial small subunit ribosomal RNA", at positions 28 to 507 of the family's 1533-position model. The record is from RNAcentral.
GACGAACGCUGGCGGCGUGCCUAAUACAUGCAAGUAGAACGCUGAAGGAGGAGCUUGCUUCUCUGGAUGAGUUGCGAACGGGUGAGUAACGCGUAGGUAACCUGCCUGGUAGCGGGGGAUAACUAUUGGAAACGAUAGCUAAUACCGCAUAAGAGUAGAUGUUGCAUGACAUUUGCUUAAAAGGUGCAAUUGCAUCACUACCAGAUGGACCUGCGUUGUAUUAGCUAGUUGGUGGGGUAACGGCUCACCAAGGCGACGAUACAUAGCCGACCUGAGAGGGUGAUCGGCCACACUGGGACUGAGACACGGCCCAGACUCCUACGGGAGGCAGCAGUAGGGAAUCUUCGGCAAUGGACGGAAGUCUGACCGAGCAACGCCGCGUGAGUGAAGAAGGUUUUCGGAUCGUAAAGCUCUGUUGUAAGAGAAGAACGAGUGUGAGAGUGGAAAGUUCACACUGUGACGGUAUCUUACCAGAAAGGGACGGCUAACUACGUG